This 477-nucleotide unclassified non-coding RNA is filed under the name Hevea brasiliensis (rubber tree). Lineage: Eukaryota; Viridiplantae; Streptophyta; Magnoliopsida; Malpighiales; Euphorbiaceae. The record is from RNAcentral.
UUUUUGCUGGCCUUUUUCUUCAUUAAGGUAAUCGACAUCAGUCUGCUUAAAUGCUUCAACUAUAGCUGACUUUGUAUCUUUGAUAAAAUCAGGAUGACUACUCAAAUUCUUAAAGAGGUUGUUCUUUAAGUAUUCUGCUGUUCUUGAACCACCAUGACCAUCAAAAACACCAAAAAAUGCCACCAUUUGACCAUCAACUUCUGAUAUGCUUGUCUCAUAGUAGUCCUCCAUGGAGGCCCGUUUCCCCUUAAAAGUAGCAUAUCCAUAGCUGAAUUUAGCAUUUUUGUUUCCAGUCAGAAAGCUAAUACCGCCGCCGCUAAAGAGCGCACUGGGAUCAAUAGACGGCGGCUGUUUCACCUGCGUCAGAGACGGCGGCUGUUUCACCUGCGUCAGAGACGGCGGCUGUUUAAUCUGCGUCAUGGACGGCGUCACAGCAACCACCGAGAGAGUCUACUGCUCCGACGCCGUCCAUGACGC